Molecule: unclassified non-coding RNA, 339 nt
Filed under: soil metagenome
Description: partial contains 5.8S ribosomal RNA, internal transcribed spacer 2, and large subunit ribosomal RNA
Rfam family: 5.8S ribosomal RNA (bases 1-120)
Source: RNAcentral
GAUGAAGAACGCAGCGAAAUGCGAUAAGUAAUGUGAAUUGCAGAAUUCCGUGAAUCAUCGAAUCUUUGAACGCACAUUGCGCCCCCUGGUAUUCCGGGGGGCAUGCCUGUCCGAGCGUCAUUGCAACCCUCAAGCGCGGCUUGUGUGUUGGGCUUCGUCCCCCCGUGGACGUGCCCGAAAGGCAGUGGCGGCGUCCCGAAUGGUGCCCGAGCGUAUGGGAACUCUCUUCCGCUCGAACCGGCCCAUACGGCGCUGGUCGAACCCCAAUUUUUUUUUACCGGUUGACCUCGGAUCAGGUAGGGAUACCCGCUGAACUUAAGCAUAUCAAUAAGCGGAGGA